UCCGAUAUGGUGUAACGGCUAACAUCGCCGCCUUUCAUCUACUGAAAGCAAAGAUCCGCGGCAGCUCGGGGUUCGAUUCCCCGUAUCGGAG
This 91-nucleotide transfer RNA is filed under the name Aspergillus steynii IBT 23096. RNAcentral describes it as "tRNA-Glu". It matches the Rfam family "tRNA". From Rfam's summary of the family: Transfer RNA (tRNA) molecules are approximately 80 nucleotides in length. Lineage: Eukaryota; Fungi; Ascomycota; Eurotiomycetes; Eurotiales; Aspergillaceae. The record is from RNAcentral.